UACGGGGUGGGCGAGCGUUGCCCGGAAUUACUGGGUUUAAAGGGGGUGUAGGCGGUCCGGAGAGUCAGGUGUGUAAUCCAACCGCUCAACGGUUGGGCUGCACCUGAUACUUCCGGGCUAGAGGGCGGUAGAGGAGAGCGGAACUCCCGGUGUAGCGGUGAAAUGCGUAGAUAUCGGGAGGAACGCCGGUGGCGAAGGCGGCUCUCUGGGCCGUUCCUGACGCUGAGGCCCGAAAGCUGGGGGAGCGAAAGGGAUUAGAUACCCCUGUAGUCCCAGCUGUAAACGAUGGGCACUAGGUGUUCCCCCGCGAGGGGAGUGCCGACGGGAAACCAUUAAGUGCCCCACCUGGGGAGUACGCCCGCAAGGUGAAACUCAAAGGAAUUGACGGGGGCCCGCACAAGCGGUGGAGCGCGUGGUUUAAUUCGACGCUAAGCGAAGAACCUUACCUGGGCUUGACAUGCUGGUGGUACCCUGGUGGAAACACUGGGGGACUCCCCGUUGAGGGGAGAGCCAGCACAGGUGCUGCACGGCUGUCGUCAGCUCGUGCCGUGAGGUGUUGGGUUAAGUCCCGCAACGAGCGCAACCCCUGCCCUUAGUUGCCACAGCAUCCAUGAGGUGGCUGGGCAUUCUAAGGGGACUGCCGCCGAUGAGGCGGAGGAAGGUGGGGAUGACGUCAAGUCCGUGUGGCCUUUAUGUCCAGGGCUACACACGCGCUACAAUGGGUGGUACAAUGGGCUUUGCGACCCCGCGAGGGGAAGCGAAUCCCAGAAAACCACCCCCAGUUCGGAUUGGGGUCUGCAACCCGACCCCAUGAAGACGGAAUCGCUAGUAAUCGCCUAUCAGCAUGGGGCGGUGAAUACGUUCCCGGGUCUUGUACACACCGCCCGUCAC
RNAcentral lists this ribosomal RNA (891 nucleotides) under unidentified Thermotogales OPS49A. Its description in RNAcentral is "bacterial SSU rRNA". It matches the Rfam family "Bacterial small subunit ribosomal RNA", at positions 524 to 1400 of the family's 1533-position model. The record is from RNAcentral. Lineage: Bacteria; Thermotogati; Thermotogota; Thermotogae; Thermotogales.